GAACCGGGAAAAUGUUUGCCACUGAAAAUUACGAGCUAGGAUGGAUAUGACAACUGAGGCAGGAACACCGUGUGAGCACCACGACGAACCACGCCAGUUUGAGCUGAAACCAAAAAAAGCGCCUCAUGCCGGCUGUGGAUCGAUGCCUCCCUGCGGGUCCCAGAGCGUGAGGCCCGUCCAGCCAUGCGGAACCCCAGGGGAGCUGGCUGCGGUUUGAUAUGCCGCAUGAUGUCUUCCAGCACAGCUGCAGCCAGCCAACCUGCGCCCCCCCCCCACGUCUCUCCACACACCGUUUGGAGUUUUAGCCCAGCGCUCUACUGGGAGCCGGGCUUGGCAGUGUUGGUUACAGGUCUCAGACGGACCACUGAUGGGGCCCUUCUGCUCAGCAUCCCUUUGUGAGCAGGUAGAAAAGGGGGAGAGAGACAGGUGUGUUUAUGUUCCACUUGUUGCACACAGCCACCCAGAACAGAUGCCCUCUGAUUUCUAAGAGGACAGUGAGGAGGAAGACAGUACAAAGAGAGAAAGGGACACGGACUGGAAGAAAAUUUGAUGGUGGAAAAAUGUAACUAUUUUCAAUGAAAGACUUGUAAAACCGAUGUGACCAAAGGUUUGCCAUAUGUACAUUUCCCCCCAUCGCAAUAAUACUUCCAGCAUAGAGCCAUCUUUUUUUUCCCCAGGAAAGUCCUCUUUUUUUCUUUCCCAACCAGCGUCCUGGAUUGGUUUGAGAAAAUGCUUCCCAGUCAUUAGAGAGUUUAUGAAAUCAUAUCGGCAUUACACCAUGCUCUCGGAGCAGACCUUAUGCACAGUCUCUGAGCUGAAGAGUGCAUCGGAGUCGGGACGUUUGGCUCAGCAGGUUGUAAGGACUCUGAGUAAUCAGGGUUUGGGGAUUCUAAUUAGGACAAUUAAGUCCUAAUUACAAUGUAAACACAUACUGCUGCCAGAACUGCAGCCCCCUAGAGUGAGGCCUUUGUAGCAUGAACUCCCAUUCUGCUCCGCUGUCAGCAACAUCCUCGUAUUCUGCAGUCCUAACUUGAAUAGAUGAUACGGCUAUUGAGUGCAAGCAGAAGUGACAUACAACCUUUAAUCAAGCAAGUCCAUCUUUAGCUGCUUUGCCUUUCGGAUUUAUCGCCGUCAUAGUUGGUGUGGCUUUACAUCAAAUGUUUAUGGUGUUCAGCUGGAAGACAAAUAGCAGAUCCGUUUGAGUGUGACACAGGGAUCAGUAUGGACCCGCUAGAUGCAUCUGGAGAACUUUAUAAAUAUGUUAAGCAUUUAGAAGUUACUGCCAUCCGUCCAUCCAUCAUCUUUAGCUAUUCCGAGACCCCCAUGCGUAGUCCAGCAGGGAAACCUCGACAUUCACCUCACUAGUGAGCUUUUCAUAGGAUCACAGAGCUACCGCAGGGCAUAACCCUGAAAGAUUUUCACUCAACGUUUGUGAUUUUUUUGCACCAGUAAUCCACUGAUUCUGGCCUUGUUCAAACUGUAUAUGAGCAUAUUUUUCCGAUGGAUUAUUUACACUUCUUAAUAUAAAUUAUCAUUGUAAAAUGAGACUGACGGAACGACUUAGUCAACCUACCACCCUUCCACUCCUCAAGAAAAAAAACAAACAAAUUUUCUAAAGUAUUGCACCAGGUCAGCUCAGGCUACUAUGGAUUUAUUUUGAACGAGGCUCCUGGCCAACAUUAAUAUAUGAAAAAAAUAAAAAAUAAAGCACUGAAGUGA
Molecule: long non-coding RNA, 1719 nt
Organism: Poecilia latipinna (sailfin molly)
Lineage: Eukaryota; Metazoa; Chordata; Actinopteri; Cyprinodontiformes; Poeciliidae
Exons: 2
Source: RefSeq, a predicted model, not a curated record